UACGAAGGGGGCUAGCGUUGCUGGGAAUUACUGGGGGUAAAGGGCGCGUAGGCGGACAGUUUAGUCAGAGGUGAAAGCCCAGGGCUCAACCUUGGAAUUGCCUUUGAUACUGGCUGUCUUGAGUUCGGGAGAGGUGAGUGGAAUGCCGAGUGUAGAGGUGAAAUUCGUAGAUAUUCGGCGGAACACCAGUGGCGAAGGCGACUCACUGGCCCGAUACUGACGCUGAGGCGCGAAAGCGUGGGGAGCAAACAGG
This 253-nucleotide ribosomal RNA is filed under the name uncultured bacterium. RNAcentral describes it as "partial 16S ribosomal RNA". It matches the Rfam family "Bacterial small subunit ribosomal RNA", at positions 524 to 776 of the family's 1533-position model. The record is from RNAcentral.